This 724-nucleotide long non-coding RNA is filed under the name Mytilus galloprovincialis (Mediterranean mussel). Lineage: Eukaryota; Metazoa; Mollusca; Bivalvia; Mytilida; Mytilidae. The record is from RNAcentral.
GACAUUCGUCUUACUAUUACUAUUUGAAAAAAACAAGUCUAUGAAUUUUUAAGUAAAAUGAAGAAAACAUUAGGAAUAAAUGUUUAUUUGAUGGAAAUUAGUACAGUUAUAGUUAGACCAAAGUAUAAUCUAUGGCAGCCUGAGACAAGAAUUUGUGUUAUAUUAUAGUUUGUAUUGAAUUAAUAUUGAUUUGUGAGGGAGAUAAGGGACCAAAGGAUAAAUUUCUUCUGAUGGUCAGGAAAAAUUUACAAUGUAACAAAUCAUGUCAUAAACCGUUGGGUGACAGUGAUAAAUUUACCACGCUAUUUAAACGAUUUUUCAUUUUCAAAUAUUUGAACAAUUGAAAAACAGGAAAUUUGAAAAGUUUAAUAAAAAUUUGGGUAAACAAACAGGUAUUAGAUUUUACUAUUGUAUUUGUAAGUCAUAUUAUAUCGAGGUGUAUAAAUUAAAUGGAUAUUAUAUAUUAGAUGAAAAAUAAUGAUUGAUGAAAGCAACUGUUCAUAAAAAAAUUUUUUUUAUUUGUUUCGGUUAAAUUUAUAUAUAGAAUGGGACAGAUUCGAUACCAUUCUGCAUUUUUCAAAUCAGACAGCAAUCACGAUGUCUGUUUUUAGAGGGUUUUAGUUGCUAUUUAAAAAAAAAAAUGAUAUAUAGCAGUUGAAAUCAAAAUUGCUCAAGCAUUUUCUCUGUACAUGUAGUAGUUUUAAUUUCAACUGUAGUAAUUAAA